Molecule: ribosomal RNA, 465 nt
Filed under: Vreelandella stevensii
Lineage: Bacteria; Pseudomonadati; Pseudomonadota; Gammaproteobacteria; Oceanospirillales; Halomonadaceae
Description: partial 16S ribosomal RNA
Rfam family: Bacterial small subunit ribosomal RNA
Source: RNAcentral
CCUACGGGUGGCAGCAGUGGGGAAUAUUGGACAAUGGGCGAAAGCCUGAUCCAGCCAUGCCGCGUGUGUGAAGAAGGCCUUCGGGUUGUAAAGCACUUUCAGUGGGGAAGAAAGCCUUGGGGCUAAUACCCUCGAGGAAGGACAUCACCCACAGAAGAAGCACCGGCUAACUCCGUGCCAGCAGCCGCGGUAAUACGGAGGGUGCGAGCGUUAAUCGGAAUUACUGGGCGUAAAGCGCGCGUAGGCGGUCUGAUAAGCCGGUUGUGAAAGCCCCGGGCUCAACCUGGGAACGGCAUCCGGAACUGUCAGGCUAGAGUGCAGGAGAGGAAGGUAGAAUUCCCGGUGUAGCGGUGAAAUGCGUAGAGAUCGGGAGGAAUACCAGUGGCGAAGGCGGUCUUCUGGACUGACACUGACGCUGAGGUGCGAAAGCGUGGGUAGCAAACAGGAUUAGAUCCCCUAGUAGUC